Molecule: non-coding RNA, 525 nt
Organism: Paramuricea clavata
Lineage: Eukaryota; Metazoa; Cnidaria; Anthozoa; Malacalcyonacea; Plexauridae
Source: the annotation of a GenBank genome assembly
GUUUCGACUAGCUUUCAAUGACGCUACUAAGUAAUACAAAACUAUAUAUACAAGAUCAAAUGAAAUAUGAUAUCUGUUAGUUAAAAAUUAUGAGUUCCUUAGAGGCUUUAUAUCCAUGGUUAAGUUCCGGUCACUGGCGAUGAAUAUAUAGAGAUUCUUUGAAAAGUAAUAAAGAUCAAUGUCAGGAUUUGUCUAAUAUCCUACAGUUGAAAGUGAAGUCGUCUAGAUUAAAUAGUGUAUGAGGAAGAUUAAAUAACGUUCUAUAACACAUGAAGUGUUCGCAUGAAUUUAUGUGUUUGUAAAUCUCUGAUUCUUUACUGCGGGCAUGCUCUUUUAGCCUUGUCAUCAGACAGUGAUCUGUCUUUCCGAUGUAUGAAGCUUGACAUCCAGGGCGGGCAACACAUUGCUUAACAAAAUAUAUCUUAGGCGAGAGGUCUACAUCAUCUUGCCUGGUCAUAUGAGCUGGACUGACCCGUGCUGAUUCGUUUCUUUCCCAACUAACAGUAUCUUCAAGAUCGUUAGGUG